RNAcentral lists this ribosomal RNA (824 nucleotides) under Klebsiella pneumoniae. RNAcentral's name for it is "bacterial LSU rRNA". It matches the Rfam family "Bacterial large subunit ribosomal RNA", at positions 1045 to 1855 of the family's 2925-position model. Lineage: Bacteria; Pseudomonadati; Pseudomonadota; Gammaproteobacteria; Enterobacterales; Enterobacteriaceae. The record is from RNAcentral.
UCCCAAAGUCAUGGUUAAGUGGGAAACGAUGUGGGAAGGCACAGACAGCCAGGAUGUUGGCUUAGAAGCAGCCAUCAUUUAAAGAAAGCGUAAUAGCUCACUGGUCGAGUCGGCCUGCGCGGAAGAUGUAACGGGGCUAAACCAUGCACCGAAGCUGCGGCAGCGACACUAUGUGUUGUUGGGUAGGGGAGCGUUCUGUAAGCCUGCGAAGGUGACCUGUGAGGGUUGCUGGAGGUAUCAGAAGUGCGAAUGCUGACAUAAGUAACGAUAAAGCGGGUGAAAAGCCCGCUCGCCGGAAGACCAAGGGUUCCUGUCCAACGUUAAUCGGGGCAGGGUGAGUCGACCCCUAAGGCGAGGCCGAAAGGCGUAGUCGAUGGGAAACAGGUUAAUAUUCCUGUACUUGGUGUUACUGCGAAGGGGGGACGGAGAAGGCUAUGUUAGCCGGGCGACGGUUGUCCCGGUUUAAGCAUGUAGGCUGGUUAUCCAGGCAAAUCCGGAUAACCAAGGCUGAGGUGUGAUGACGAGGCACUACGGUGCUGAAGUAACAAAUGCCCUGCUUCCAGGAAAAGCCUCUAAGCAUCAGGUAACAUCAAAUCGUACCCCAAACCGACACAGGUGGUCAGGUAGAGAAUACCAAGGCGCUUGAGAGAACUCGGGUGAAGGAACUAGGCAAAAUGGUGCCGUAACUUCGGGAGAAGGCACGCUGGUGUGUAGGUGAAGUCCCUGCGGAUGGAGCUGAGACCAGUCGAAGAUACCAGCUGGCUGCAACUGUUUAUUAAAAACACAGCACUGUGCAAACACGAAAGUGGACGUAUACGGUGUGA